CCCUUAGAUGUUCUGGGCCGCACGCGCGCUACACUGAUGCAUUCAACGAGCCUAGCCUUGACCGAGAGGUCCGGGUAAUCUUUGAAACUGCAUCGUGAUGGGGCUAGAUUAUUGCAAUUAUUAAUCUUCAACGAGGAAUGCCUAGUAAGCGUGAUUCAUCAAAUCGCGUUGAUUACGUCCCUGCCCUUUGUACACACCGCCCGUCGCUCCUACCGAUUGAGUGUGUUGGUGAGGAGUUUGGAUUGGCCUCGGAAGGUGGUUCGCCACCGUCCGUAGCUGAGAAGUUCUCCAAACCGCCCCACUUAGAGGAAGGAGAAGUCGUGACA
RNAcentral lists this ribosomal RNA (326 nucleotides) under uncultured eukaryote. Its description in RNAcentral is "partial 18S ribosomal RNA". It matches the Rfam family "Eukaryotic small subunit ribosomal RNA", at positions 1470 to 1796 of the family's 1831-position model. The record is from RNAcentral.